GUCCUUUUGGUAUUUAUUUAAGGUCUAGCCUGCCCAAUGAGGAAUUGAAUGGCCGCAGUAUUUUAACUGUGCUAAGGUAGCAUAAUCAUUUGUCUUUUAAUUGAGGGCUGGAAUGAAGGGUUGGACAAGACAUUGACUUUCUUAGGCUUAAUAUAAGAAUUUAAUUUUUGAGUUAAAAAGCUUAAAUUUGUUUGUUAGACGAGAAGACCCUAUAGAUCUUUAUAAUUUUGUGUUYUAGUAAUUUAGGGAUUAAUUUGUUUAGAGUUAAGAUAUUAUUUUGUUGGGGUGACUGUAGAAUUAUAAUAACUUCUAUUUAUAUAAUUCAUUUAUUUAUGUUUAUUUGAUCCAUGUUUUAUGAUUAUAAGAUUAAGUUACCUUAGGGAUAACAGCGUAAUUUCUCCGGAGAGUUCAUAUUGAUGGGGGAGUUUGCGACCUCGAUGUUGGAUUAAAAUAAGUUGUGGAUGCAGAAGUCUACAUACUAGGUCUGUUCGACCUUUAAAUUUUU
Molecule: ribosomal RNA, 505 nt
Filed under: Panstrongylus lutzi
Lineage: Eukaryota; Metazoa; Arthropoda; Insecta; Hemiptera; Reduviidae
Description: partial 16S ribosomal RNA
Rfam family: Bacterial large subunit ribosomal RNA
Source: RNAcentral